This 1329-nucleotide long non-coding RNA is filed under the name Cyanistes caeruleus (blue tit). RNAcentral's name for it is "lncRNA (ENSCCEG00000000902.1)". The record is from RNAcentral. Lineage: Eukaryota; Metazoa; Chordata; Aves; Passeriformes; Paridae.
AUGUGGAUCCAGCAUGGAUUGGGUACCCCACAAAGCAGAGGCUGCCGGUGCACCCCACAUUCCCCACAGAGCGUGGCUUCAUGCUACACAACCCCACGCCCUGCCCCACAUGGCCCCACAAGCACAGCCCCACACCCUGGCCCCCAUAGCACUGCAGGGAACACGGCCCCACACCCUGCCCCACAUGUCCCCACAAGCACAGCCCCAGCCCUGCCCUGCAUGCCCCCAUGCACCGCAGCCCGGUGCCCCCCAGCCUGCCCCGUGUCCCCGGCACCACGUGCGGGACUCGUUCCCAGCAGAAGCGCCAAAACGCAUCGUAAAACUUGGCUACAGAAAUGCAGUAAAUCAGUACAGGCUGUAACCCCUGCCUGGGGACAACCCCAAAAUGUGCAGUCCCCAGUGGUGGCAGGUCAGAGGCAGAGCACAGCACAUCACCUGCAGCGGGCUGUGAAGCGCUCCCUGGGCAGCCGAACCGGGGAGACGCCUGUGACCCCACCCACAGCUGGACAGAGCCUUUUUGCGGCGCCACACGUUAUCUGUUUAACCAUUUCCACACCUUACCCUGCCGGGCUGAGGGGACAGCCAGUCUCUGAGGAAGAGCCUCUUGCCCCUUUCGCCUGCCCAAAGCACAGGAUAGGAAGCUCGGGGAGAGCAGAGGACGAGCCGGCAGCGCAGAGCCCCAGGGCUGUGUGCUACCCCCGGCUCCCGCUGAGCCUGGACACAACUCAGUGCACACAUGGCUCAGGGACAGGCUCAGGACUGAGCAAGGUCCUGGUGACCACAGGUGAUCUCCAGCUCCACCAGGGCCAGACUGCCUCGAGCACGGGACCGCACAUCCCCACGACCUCGCAGGCCGGGGCUGACCCUGUGCCCUGCCCUCGGGAGUGUCGCAGCAGCGAGGCACCCUUGGCCUUGAUUAGGUCACAGUGCCACCAGAACAACCUCAUGUCAGCCUGGGAAAUGUCACCUUUUGGGUCCCUUCAGGCCAAGCAAAGGCACAUUCAUCACUCUCCACCAUCUCCUCCCAGCACCACUGCAGCUCCCGUGAUGCCAAACACCUCCUUGCUGCAGUUGGAUGUCGUGGUUCUUCCUGCCGCUUACUUGACCAGGAUUUUGGGUUAUUCAGGUCAUCGCUCCUGUGGCCGACAGGGUCCUGCCCCACAGCAGUGCCCUGCCCCGUUCCCCACACUCCCUGUGCCGCUCUGGGAUGUGGCUGUCCCAGAGCUGGUCCCCUCAAGCCGGGGGCCGCUGCCAGCGGCACUGCCGGGCUCUGUGCACGGCGCAGCACCGGAGCAAAGGAGCCUGGCGGGUGGCACUAGGGGGAGAUAA